This 889-nucleotide ribosomal RNA is filed under the name uncultured archaeon. Its description in RNAcentral is "bacterial SSU rRNA". It matches the Rfam family "Archaeal small subunit ribosomal RNA", at positions 21 to 900 of the family's 1478-position model. The record is from RNAcentral.
CCCGACUGCUAUUGGGUGAGAAUAAGCCAUGCGAGUCGAAUGGGAAACCUAAACUUCCCAUGGCAAACUGCUCAGUAACACAUGAUCAACUUACCCUACAGAGAAAAAUAACCUCGGGAAACUGAGGAUAAUAUUUCAUAAUUGAAAAGGCUUGGAAAAGUUUUUCAACUAAAGGAUAAGAAAAAUGGUUUUUAUUCGCUGUAGGAUAGGAUCGUGCUCGAUUAUGGUUGUUGGUGAGGUAAUGGCUCACCAAGCCGAUAAUCGAUAGGGGCCGUGAGAGCGGGAGCCCCGAGAUGGGUACUGAGACAACGACCCAGGCCUUACGAGGCGCAGCAGGCGCGAAACCUCCGCAAUACACGAAAGUGUGACGGGGUUACCCAAAGUGUUCAAUUAUGAUCUGUGGUAGGUGAGUAAUGUUCCCUACUAGAAAGGAGAGGGCAAGGCUGGUGCCAGUCGCCGCGGCAAAACCAGCUCCUCAAGUGGUAGGGAUAAUUAUUCGGGUUACAGUGUCGGUAACCGCAUUACUAAGUUGUGAAUAAAAUCGGGUAGCUUAACUAUCGCCCCGUAGGAAUACUGCCCUACUAGCGGACGGGAGAGGUGGGAGGUCACUCACAUGUAGGGGUGAAAUCAAAUAUUCGGUGAAGGGUCACCUCUGCAGAAGCCGUCUCGGCGGCACCCCCCUCCCGGGGAGGGCCGACAUCCAGGGGAGCGAUCCAGAUGGGCUAGCCGGGUAGUCAGGAAUCCACACGAUGCGUGUUAGGUGAUCGCAUCCCGUGAUCCAUGUCAGUGCAAGAGGGAAACCGUUAAGUGUGCCGACUGGGAAGUACGGUCGCAAGGCUAAAACGGAAAGGAAUUGGCGCGGGAGCUCCACAAGGGGUGAAACCAGCGG